UGAAUUACAAUUCACUUUUCUAAGUCUGC
Molecule: non-coding RNA, 29 nt
Filed under: Rattus norvegicus (Norway rat)
Lineage: Eukaryota; Metazoa; Chordata; Mammalia; Rodentia; Muridae
Source: RNAcentral